Long non-coding RNA from Molossus molossus (Pallas's mastiff bat), 295 nucleotides. RefSeq lists it as uncharacterized. The record is from RefSeq and is a predicted model, not a curated record. The transcript is spliced from 3 exons. Lineage: Eukaryota; Metazoa; Chordata; Mammalia; Chiroptera; Molossidae.
AAGAAAUUCAUGUUGUGCAUUCUGUAUUUCAAGUUGUCAAACUUUUCUCAAUAGUGUUCAACCGGCCACUGAGUUUUGGUGUCGUGAAAAAGUGGUCGAGAGGGAGAAUCCCAGUAUAGCUGCAGGCGAAACCAGGCCCGACAUUUCUGAAGAAGACGGGGAAGGGCCCGACCGACUACGUGCUCACGUGUAUUCCGACCGACUCAUGCAGCUAAAAAUCUGGUGCUAACAUCAUGACCAAAGAGACCCUGCUGGUCGAAAAACAUACUGCAAUGGAGGGAUCUCCAAUACCUAC